Molecule: ribosomal RNA, 558 nt
Filed under: uncultured bacterium
Lineage: Bacteria
Description: partial 16S ribosomal RNA
Rfam family: Bacterial small subunit ribosomal RNA
Source: RNAcentral
UGGGGAAUUUUGGACAAUUGGGCGAAAGCCUGAUCCAGCAAUGCCGCGUGUGUGAAGAAGGCCUUCGGGUUGUAAAGCACUUUUGUCCGGAAAGAAAUCCUUGGCUCUAAUACAGUCGGGGGAUGACGGUACCGGAAGAAUAAGCACCGGCUAACUACGUGCCAGCAGCCGCGGUAAUACGUAGGGUGCAAGCGUUAAUCGGAAUUACUGGGCGUAAAGCGUGCGCAGGCGGUUUGCUAAGACCGAUGUGAAAUCCCCGGGCUCAACCUGGGAACUGCAUUGGUGACUGGCAGGCUAGAGUAUGGCAGAGGGGGGUAGAAUUCCACGUGUAGCAGUGAAAUGCGUAGAGAUGUGGAGGAAUACCGAUGGCGAAGGCAGCCCCCUGGGCAAUACUGACGCUCAUGCACGAAAGCGUGGGGAGCAAACAGGAUUAGAUACCCUGGUAGUCCACGCCCUAAACGAUGUCAACUAGUUGUUGGGGAUUCAUUUCCUUAGUAACGUAGCUAACGCGUGAAGUUGACCGCCUGGGGAGUACGGUCGCAAGAUUAAAACUCAAAU